RNAcentral lists this ribosomal RNA (906 nucleotides) under uncultured bacterium. RNAcentral's name for it is "bacterial SSU rRNA". It matches the Rfam family "Bacterial small subunit ribosomal RNA", at positions 74 to 978 of the family's 1533-position model. The record is from RNAcentral.
CUUAGCUUGCUAAGUUUGAUGGCGACCGGCGCACGGGUGAGUAACACGUAUCCAACCUGCCGAUGACUCGGGGAUAGCCUUUCGAAAGAAAGAUUAAUACCCGAUGGCAUAGUUCUUCCGCAUGGUAGAACUAUUAAAGAAUUUCGGUCAUCGAUGGGGAUGCGUUCCAUUAGGUUGUUGGCGGGGUAACGGCCCACCAAGCCUUCGAUGGAUAGGGGUUCUGAGAGGAAGGUCCCCCACAUUGGAACUGAGACACGGUCCAAACUCCUACGGGAGGCAGCAGUGAGGAAUAUUGGUCAAUGGACGAGAGUCUGAACCAGCCAAGUAGCGUGAAGGAUGACUGCCCUAUGGGUUGUAAACUUCUUUUAUACGGGAAUAAAGUGAGGCACGUGUGCCUUUUUGUAUGUACCGUAUGAAUAAGGAUCGGCUAACUCCGUGCCAGCAGCCGCGGUAAUACGGAGGAUCCGAGCGUUAUCCGGAUUUAUUGGGUUUAAAGGGAGCGUAGGCGGACGCUUAAGUCAGUUGUGAAAGUUUGCGGCUCAACCGUAAAAUUGCAGUUGAUACUGGGUGUCUUGAGUACAGUAGAGGCAGGCGGAAUUCGUGGUGUAGCGGUGAAAUGCUUAGAUAUCACGAAGAACUCCGAUUGCGAAGGCAGCUUGCUGGACUGUAACUGACGCUGAUGCUCGAAAGUGUGGGUAUCAAACAGGAUUAGAUACCCUGGUAGUCCACACAGUAAACGAUGAAUACUCGCUGUUUGCGAUAUACAGUAAGCGGCCAAGCGAAAGCGUUAAGUAUUCCACCUGGGGAGUACGCCGGCAACGGUGAAACUCAAAGGAAUUGACGGGGGCCCGCACAAGCGGAGGAACAUGUGGUUUAAUUCGAUGAUACGCGAGGAACCUUACCCGG